Molecule: ribosomal RNA, 492 nt
Filed under: uncultured bacterium
Lineage: Bacteria
Description: partial 16S ribosomal RNA
Rfam family: Bacterial small subunit ribosomal RNA
Source: RNAcentral
AGUGAACGCUGGCGGUAGGCCUAACACAUGCAAGUCGAACGGCAGCACAGUAAGAGCUUGCUCUUACGGGUGGCGAGUGGCGGACGGGUGAGGAAUACAUCGGAAUCUACUUUUUCGUGGGGGAUAACGUAGGGAAACUUACGCUAAUACCGCAUACGACCUACGGGUGAAAGCAGGGGAUCUUCGGACCUUGCGCGAUUGAAUGAGUCGAUGUCGGAUUAGCUAGUUGGCGGGGUAAAGGCCCACCAAGGCGACGAUCCGUAGCUGGUCUGAGAGGAUGAUCAGCCACACUGGAACUGAGACACGGUCCAGACUCCUACGGGAGGCAGCAGUGGGGAAUAUUGGACAAUGGGCGCAAGCCUGAUCCAGCCAUACCGCGUGGGUGAAGAAGGCCUUCGGGUUGUAAUGCCCUUUUGUUGGGAAAGAAAAGCAGCAGGUUAAUACCCCGCUGUUCUGACGGUACCCCAAGAAUAAGCACCGGCUAACUUCGUG